UAGGUGGGAGGCUUUGAAGUGUGGACGCCAGUCUGCAUGGAGCCGACCUUGAAAUACCACCCUUUAAUGUUUGAUGUUCUAACGUUGACCCGUAAUCCGGGUUGCGGACAGUGUCUGGUGGGUAGUUUGACUGGGGCGGUCUCCUCCUAAAGAGUAACGGAGGAGCACGAAGGUUGGCUAAUCCUGGUCGGACAUCAGGAGGUUAGUGCAAUGGCAUAAGCCAGCUUGACUGCGAGCGUGACGGCGCGAGCAGGUGCGAAAGCAGGUCAUAGUGAUCCGGUGGUUCUGAAUGGAAGGGCCAUCGCUCAACGGAUAAAAGGUACUCCGGGGAUAACAGGCUGAUACCGCCCAAGAGUUCAUAUCGACGGCGGUGUUUGGCACCUCGAUGUCGGCUCAUCACAUCCUGGGGCUGAAGUAGGUCCCAAGGGUAUGGCUGUUCGCCAUUUAAAGUGGUACGCGAGCUGGGUUUAGAACGUCGUGAGACAGUUCGGUCCCUAUCUGCCGUGGGCGCUGGAGAACUGAGGGGGGCUGCUCCUAGUACGAGAGGACCGGAGUGGACGCAUCACUGGUGUUCGGGUUGUCAUGCCAAUGGCACUGCCCGGUAGCUAAAUGCGGAAGAGAUAAGUGCUGAAAGCAUCUAAGCACGAAACUUGCCCCGAGAUGAGUUCUCCCUGACUCCUUGAGAGUCCUGAAGGAACGUUGAAGACGACGACGUUGAUAGGCCGGGUGUGUAAGCGCAGCGAUGCGUUGAGCUAACCGGUACUAAUGAACCGUGAGG
This 778-nucleotide ribosomal RNA is filed under the name Escherichia coli. RNAcentral's name for it is "partial 23S ribosomal RNA". It matches the Rfam family "Bacterial large subunit ribosomal RNA", at positions 2144 to 2916 of the family's 2925-position model. Lineage: Bacteria; Pseudomonadati; Pseudomonadota; Gammaproteobacteria; Enterobacterales; Enterobacteriaceae. The record is from RNAcentral.